GGGGUUUUUUCCCCCAUACGCAUGCGCAGUUUGGAAAUGCCACCCCCUCCCGUUAUUGCUGACCUUCCUUUAAGACUUGGGUGGGUGUCGGAAGAGGUCCGCCCAACUUGAUCCUUCAUUUUUCAGUCUUUGAUCCAGUCUUUUUGAUCUUGAUCCAGUCUUUUUCCGAGGACAUUUCCUGCGAGGACUGGCCCAAUCAUCCAUGCCAGCAGAAGGGACAUACUGCAUACCCUGCUGGUCAAGGAAUUCCUGCUGCUGGGAUCCAGAAGAACAACUUUUUCUUCCAUCCUUUUGGCCUUCUGAAAGGGCUUGAAAACCUGACAAUUGGCCUUUGGCUCCAAUGGGGGCAUGCCAUUCUGAAGGAGGUUAAUUGACUGAGAUAAGAUUCCAUCUCCCUCCCAUUUGCAUCUUGCUCCCUUCCUUGCCAUCCUUGCUAAUUAUCCAUGAUGAAAUUUGGAGGAUUGAAGCAAACAUCUGUAGUUCUUCCCCAGAGAGUAAUUUCAUCCCUCAAUGGUUUGAGACCUCAUCCCAAACAAUAGCACUUAGCAUCAACAAUAGCACUUAGACUUACAUACUGUUCCAUAGUGCUUUAUACCACUCUCAGAGUGGUUUACAACAUCAACACAUUGCCUCCAACAAUUUGAUUCCUCAUUUUACCAACCUCAGAAAGAUGGAAUGCUGAGUUAAUCUUGAGCCAGUCGGGAUCGAACUCCUGGCAGUGGACAGAGUUAGCCUGAAAUACUGCGUUCUAACCACUGCACCAUAAGGGCUCAUAGUCUUGUCUGCACCAUUAUUCUGCCUAUUAAGUUCUGAAAAUAAUUCCUGUUAUACCCAUGGAUAUGUAUAGUUCAAGUCAACUAUUACAAUCAAAAGCUAGCCAUCUUAACAAACUAAAAACAGCUCCUCACCACUCAUUAAUAAACACUUAUUUUAAAAAAUAAAUGUAUAAUCUACUAAUGUACACUAUAACAGCUUUAGUCAUUGUUCUCUUUGACAUUAUGGAAUAUAACACCAACUUUCAUCAUGUUGUGCUCAUCUUUAUCUGAUGAAAGAUAAAGAACAAGUAGAAAUAAUUGCUAUCUGAACUGAUACAUAGUAUUUAAAACUAUAUACAAAUUACAGUACAAAAGUACACAGAUACCAUUUUUAAAUUGCUCCUGCUUCACAGGGAUACAGAUUUUUUUUUAAAAAAAUAUGGAAUAGUUUUCAAUCUGCCUUGUAGAUUUUGAUUUGGUAACAUAUCAAAUCUCACUUUCAAAAAUGCUAAAUAUUCUCAAAUUAUUGAUUUCUUGCUUCAACUUUUAAUAUGCUUUCUCUAUAUAACAUUGAAUUGAUUGAAAACAUUGAUUGAAAAUAUGUAUUUAUUUAAAAUUAUAUAAGGUUGUUUUAAAAUUGUAAAAGUCUUCUCCCAGUCCAAUCCUUAGGAUUGAAGAUUGAAAGCCGCAAACUAUGGUUGAUCUUGUUUUUUGUACAGUUCAGAACUUUCCAUUCAUCACCUACUUACUUUCCAAUGAUCUAGCAGAAUUAAUGAGCUUCGAUAACGAAGGAGAUAUGAGCACUUGACAGAUGUAUGCUGUUUUAGAAGCCAGGGCAUUUGUAACCAGAGAUCCUAAGAAAUUUAUAUAAAAAUGGGACUUUUUCUAAGACUGAGUUAAAUUAAGGCAACAAGG
Molecule: long non-coding RNA, 1670 nt
Organism: Crotalus tigris (Tiger rattlesnake)
Lineage: Eukaryota; Metazoa; Chordata; Lepidosauria; Squamata; Viperidae
Exons: 3
Source: RefSeq, a predicted model, not a curated record